GCGCCUUUAGCUCAGUUGGUAGAGCAGUAGACUCUUAAUCUAUUUGUCCAGGGUUCGAGUCCCUGAAGGCGCACUA
This 76-nucleotide transfer RNA is filed under the name Clostridium sp. RNAcentral's name for it is "tRNA-Lys". It matches the Rfam family "tRNA". Rfam says of the family: Transfer RNA (tRNA) molecules are approximately 80 nucleotides in length. Their secondary structure includes four short double-helical elements and three loops (D, anti-codon, and T loops). The record is from RNAcentral. Lineage: Bacteria; Bacillati; Bacillota; Clostridia; Eubacteriales; Clostridiaceae. RNAcentral also lists the same sequence under 61 other names.